This 402-nucleotide ribosomal RNA is filed under the name uncultured Hyphomicrobiales bacterium. Its description in RNAcentral is "uncultured Rhizobiales bacterium partial 16S ribosomal RNA". It matches the Rfam family "Bacterial small subunit ribosomal RNA", at positions 355 to 774 of the family's 1533-position model. Lineage: Bacteria; Pseudomonadati; Pseudomonadota; Alphaproteobacteria; Hyphomicrobiales. The record is from RNAcentral.
UGGGGAAUAUUGGACAAUGGGCGCAAGCCUGAUCCAGCCAUGCCGCGUGAGUGAUGAAGGCCUUCGGGUUGUAAAGCUCUUUUGUCCGGGAAGAUAAUGACUGUACCGGAAGAAUAAGCCCCGGCUAACUUCGUGCCAGCAGCCGCGGUAAUACGAAGGGGGCUAGCGUUGUUCGGAAUCACUGGGCGUAAAGCGCACGUAGGCGGCUUGUUAAGUCAGAGGUGAAAGCCUGGAGCUCAACUCCAGAACUGCCUUUGAUACUGGCAAGCUCGAGGAUAGCAGAGGUUGGUGGAACUCCGAGUGUAGAGGUGAAAUUCGUAGAUAUUCGGAAGAACACCAGUGGCGAAGGCGGCCAACUGGGCUAUUACUGACGCUGAGGUGCGAAAGCGUGGGGAGCAAACA